AACAGCUCAAAUUUAAAAUCUGGCCCCUCCCGGGGUCCGAGUUGUAAUUUGUAGAGAGGAUUUCGGGUGCGGUGCCGGUCUAAGUUCUUUGGAACAGGACGUCGCAGAGGGUGAGAAUCCCGUACGUGACCGGUGUCCAACCCCAUGUGAAACCUCUUCGACGAGUCGAGUUGUUUGGGAAUGCAGCUCUAAAUGGGUGGUAAAUUUCAUCUAAAGCUAAAUACCGGCCAGAGACCGAUAGCGCACAAGUAGAGUGAUCGAAAGAUGAAAAGCACUUUGGAAAGAGAGUCAAAAAGUACGUGAAAUUGUUGAAAGGGAAGCGCUUGCAACCAGACCUGCCCGCGGGUGAUCAGCCGUCCUUCGGGGCGGUGCACUCGCCCGCGACCAGGCCAGCAUCGGUUCGGGCGGCCGGAUAAAGGCCCCGGGAAUGUGACUCCCCCCGGGGAGUGUUAUAGCCCGGGGUGCAAUGCGGCCAGCCGGGACCGAGGACCGCGCUUCGGCUAGGAUGCUGGCGUAAUGGUUGUAAGCGGCCCGUCUUGAAACACGGACCAAGGAGUCUAACAUCUAUGCGAGUGUUUGGGUGUCAAACCCAUGCGCGGAAUGAAAGUGAACGGAGGUGGGAGCCCUUCUGGGUGCACCAUCGACCGAUCCUGAUGUCUUCGGAUGGAUUUGAGUAGGAGCAUAGCUGUUGGGACCCGAAAGAUGGUGAACUAUGCCUGGAUAGGGUGAAGCCAGAGGAAACUCUGGUGGAGGCUCGCAGCGGUUCUGACGUGCAAAUCGAUCGUCAAAUUUGGGUAUAGGGGCGAAAGACUAAUCGAACCAUCUAGUAGCUGGUUCCAGCCGAAGUUUCCCUCAGGAUAGCAGUAACGUUUUCAGUUUUAUGAGGUAAAGCGAAUGAUUAGAGGCCUUGGGGUUGAAACAACCUUAACCUAUUCUCAAACUUUAAAUAUGUAAGAAGUCCUUGUUACUUAGUUGAACGUGGACAUUUGAAUGCACCGUUACUAGUGGGCCAUUUUUGGUAAGCAGAACUGGCGAUGCGGGAUGAACCGAACGUGAGGUUAAGGUGCCGGAAUGCACGCUCAUCAGACACCACAAAAGGUGUUAGUUCAUCUAGACAGCCGGACGGUGGCCAUGGAAGUCGGAACCCGCUAAGGAGUGUGUAACAACUCACCGGCCGAAUGAACUAGCCCUGAAAAUGGAUGGCGCUCAAGCGUGCUACCCAUACCUCGCCGCCA
RNAcentral lists this ribosomal RNA (1235 nucleotides) under Rhizocarpon disporum. Its description in RNAcentral is "LSU rRNA". It matches the Rfam family "Eukaryotic large subunit ribosomal RNA", at positions 103 to 1357 of the family's 3401-position model. Lineage: Eukaryota; Fungi; Ascomycota; Lecanoromycetes; Rhizocarpales; Rhizocarpaceae. The record is from RNAcentral.